RNAcentral lists this ribosomal RNA (253 nucleotides) under uncultured bacterium. RNAcentral's name for it is "partial 16S ribosomal RNA". It matches the Rfam family "Bacterial small subunit ribosomal RNA", at positions 524 to 776 of the family's 1533-position model. The record is from RNAcentral.
GACGGAAGGUGCAAGCGUUGCUCGGAAUCACUGGGCGUAAAGGGCGCGUAGGCGGCGCGACAAGUCAGGCGUGAAAGCCCCGGGCUCAACCCGGGAAUUGCGCUUGAUACUGUCGUGCUUGAGGCCGGGAGAGGAUGGCGGAAUUCCCAGUGUAGAGGUGAAAUUCGUAGAUAUUGGGAGGAACACCAAUGGCGAAGGCAGCACCCUGGGCCGGUACUGACGCUGAGGAGCGAAAGCGUGGGGAGCAAACAGG